RNAcentral lists this small RNA (131 nucleotides) under Arabidopsis thaliana (thale cress). Its description in RNAcentral is "ATSL258470". Lineage: Eukaryota; Viridiplantae; Streptophyta; Magnoliopsida; Brassicales; Brassicaceae. The record is from RNAcentral.
UGUCAUUUAAUGGACACUAAAAAAAACAAAAAUCAUAUAUGUGAAAGUUGACCAACUCUCUUCAUAUGGGUGACACAUCAUCACACAAGAAAAUGACAUGUGUCUUUUAACAUUGAUUAAAUUAAAAAUCA